This 274-nucleotide ribosomal RNA is filed under the name uncultured bacterium. RNAcentral describes it as "partial 16S ribosomal RNA". It matches the Rfam family "Bacterial small subunit ribosomal RNA", at positions 523 to 796 of the family's 1533-position model. The record is from RNAcentral.
AUACGGGGGGAGCGAACGUUGUUCGGAUUUACUGGGCGUAAAGGGUGUGUAGGCGGCUUCGCAAGUCAGGGGUGAAAUGUCCAGGCUCAACCUGGGACCUGCCUCUGAAACUGCAGAGCUUGAGGUCGUGAGAGGAGAUUGGAAUUCCUAGUGUAGCGGUGAAAUGCAUAGAUAUUAGGAAGAACACCAGUGGCGAAGGCGAAUCUCUGGCACGAUUCUGACGCUGAUGCACGAAAGCUAGGGGAGCGAACGGGAUUAGAAACCCCAGUAGUCC